AUAUCUCCUCCCAGCUCCCGCUGUACCCCUACGCCGCCCUGCCUGCCCUGCCCGGCUUCAGCCCCUCCAGCGAUACGGCUGAUGGAGGGAGGGGAGGCGGCGGCUGGGGUUUCGUUCGACGCCCACCAGGGGCUGAGCGAGCCUUCUUCAGUGCGCAAACUCGGGGCACCAGAUAAAAGCUGGGCUGGCAGCUCUUACCCUGCCUCGAUGGAGCCGCCACUUUCGGGUGACUGGAGAAGCAGUUAGCAGCAGCGCCAUAGACUAGCGUCCCCCCACACCUUGGGCACAGAGAGUUUGGGGCUCUAAACAGCUGCUGCUGCGGCAGGAGGGAGCCGAGGGCGCUUGGCUGGGGCUGCUCGCUCGGGUUCUGCCUGUUGUUGCGCGAAAUGGCGGCUGGCGUCUUGGUGAAAGUACACUUAAAGGAAGAUUUGCUGAAAUCUGAAGAGGGAGACAGGCUCAGUCACUCAAACUACAGUGGUUCCAGAAUUUGUAAUGUGGACAGGAUAAGGAUUUUUUUCUGUGCAGUUAAUGGUGUGCUUUUUUUUGCUGGUUUCUCAGGGGAAAAGACUCAACGUGUUGAAUCACAGAGAUGUUACUUCCUGCUGGGUUUUGGGAUUUCCUUGCAGCUCUCCUCUCCAUGGCUGCAGGAGCUGUUUUUGCAUAGUGCAUGUUCUAAGGCAGGAACUUGCUGGAGAUGAAGACAGAAGCCAACCAGUUCUGUGCUGAAUGUAAUAGUUUCUGACUCAAAUUGUGGUAAUUGUCAGAAUAUCAUAGGGUGUUGUAGGAACUGCUGUGUUGAACAUGGCUGAGGAUUUAUUCUUUCAUAAUUUGCCUAAAUGAGUAUAAAAUGCUAAUCUGAAUUAACAUAUGAAAGUGGGGGGAAAGAUUUCUUGAUAUUUUCUAGCCACUUGAAACCUCAUUGUGUGCAAUAAUAGAUUUCACUGUGCUGAAGUAGUCAUGGGGUUUUUUCCCCACUUGCUCAAUCUUAACUCCCAUUCUAAUUUCCCAUAGAAAGAAAAGCAACUUGCUAUAGCUUCAAAAAUAUUAACAAAAUACUGUGAGCACUAGAAAUAUGAUAGAGUUUCAUAUUACUAUCAGUUUCACUAGGAAUUAAAAACAUGUAAAUCUGGAAAUUAUGGUAGUAAAUUGAUAUCAAGUAUUUUGACAUACAUACCUGCUUCAUACAGCUUGCUUUCCUCAUAGAAGUAUUCCUGGCAGCUUGUUGCAGUACUGAGUUUGUGUCAAGUCUAAGAUUGGUAUGUUUACUAUGAAGACAAGCUUUGAGAAUUCCUAUGAACUCUACUUCUUCAGCAAUUGUUUUUGAUAAACCAGAUCUUGCAGCUCCAAGAGGCAAACAGGAAAGGGAUGGAGGGGUGGUAGUCAAAUUUUCAGGCAGAUCAGCUCUGGUUGGAGUUAAGCUCUCUGAAUGUGGAAUAGUGUCAAACAGUGCAACUCUCCUGAAUCCUCCUUUUUCUUCAGAAAUGGCUUCAGGUAUGCUGUCUUUUUACUUUGCAGUGCUAGAGGAGAGUUCUGGAUGAAGCCAUUUCUCUCUUGUGUUUUAACCUCUCCUGUACGUUGUCUGGGCCUGGUUCAGCAAACAGUUCCAUUUGGUGGACUGUCCUCUGGUGCUGUUUGGAGGAAAGGGAAAGAAUUGCUCUCUAAAUGAGUAUCUAAAAUAUGGGACUUCAGAGGACUGCCUGACAUUGUUAAAGCUAAUGACUUAGAGCAUCUAGAAAAGCCACUUCACAGGAUAAUUCUUCCCAGCACAUUCUAUGAUAAUGUUUCCAGUGCUUUUGAGUUUGUCUCUGGGCUCUAAUGAUCCUAGGGUGUGAACUGUCACCUAAAGCACUAUCAGAAGUGCAACUUCUGACACAAUUUUAAGUAAGUGAAUCUUCCAUCCCUAGAUGUAGUUCUUGCUGGAUUUAAAAAGGCUAUAUAUUUUAAUUAGGUACCUAAUUUGAUAUAAAAUUUAAUUUGUGCCUAAUUUGAUGUAAAAAAUACUUGAAAAAAUAUUAGUGAAAAUUUUCCUUAAUGGUGGAUGACAGACAUGUAAGCUACUGUUAAACUCUGUGUGUGUGUGACUGACUGUUUGUUAAAGGAAAAGCAUGUUUUCAAAGUGUGGUUUUUGGACUUCCAGACAGAUUACACAAACUCAAGCAGGCCCAGCCCACAUCCUGUGUAGAAAACCAGCUCACAGAAAUGCUCAUUGUUCUUCAGGGUUAUAAGUCACUGUGUUUUGUGCUUCCCUUCUAUUUCAAAAUAUUGUAUGGAAAAUACUAAUGCAAAGGAACCACAGCAGCUUAACAAGUGCUUGGUCCUGCCAGGUACUGAGCACUGUGCUCUUACCAGAAGGCUGGGGACUGGGAUUAAAACAUUAGGCUCCCUGGCUGGAGAACAAAGAGUUUGUGUUGGUAAAAGUAGCUGAGAGUGUUUAUCAGGUGAGUAAAUCAAUUGAUAAUUGUCAUACUUUCAACCUGGAAGUUGUUUGUGUGCAGCCAUGCCAGUAUUUACUAUCCUGGAGUGGGUGCUACAGGAUAUGAAGUUUUCUUCAAGCAGGGUGAGUUCUCCAUGACACUGAUUCACCUCUGCUCAGUCUUCACUGCAGAAAGAGAGAAUGGGGGGUGUCCAGAUCUGAUAGCCCACCAGAAAGUGGUUAGUGUUUCUGAAUCUCUACCCAUGCUUAUUGCUGGGUUGUGUUUUUCAACCUGCAAGCUAAUGGACCUAUCCAUGAAGGGAGCUAUCAAGUCAAAAACACUAAAACCUGUUCACUCUUCCCUUUUUUGAACGUACAUUAUCAUCUUGGAGGUUAUUUUUUUAAAAACUGAGAUGCUUUCAUUUUUAACUUUAUAAACAGAAAUGGUGUUCCAAUGUUAAUUUUGAACCACUUUUAUUAUGUUUUUCUUUCUUCACAAAAAACCCAGCUUAUAUUUUUUGCUAGUGUUCAGUACCCAUUUAAGACUAAAAUAUUUGUUAUGGUAAUACAGAUGUAGCUGAGCAGAAGGCUGCCAUGAGAGUGUUUGAGGUUGUGCCCUGCUUUUCUGCACUCCUCUGAAUGGAAUCACUUCUCUUUAGUCUCUGCCAAUCUCCUGACUGUGCAGCAUUCCCAAAACAUGUGGACCAUAAAAUGGGAUUAUAGGGGAGGCAUUCAAGUAAACAGAAGUUCCCUUGGGAUGAGAUUUGCUUUUUCAUGCAGAGCUCCUUGUGUGCUGUAGCCUGGCACUGGAGUGAAUUCUCUUGGUGACCCCAAGGGUGGGAAAGCACCCAGGCCAUCCCUAUGUUUUGGGGAUAGCCUCUCCUGGCUGGCACAAUAAAGUCCCCCUUUGCAGUGUUUUUGGAAGGACACACCCAAGUGCAGGUUUCUUUCUGUGUCUCUUCAGUGUGUCUGUGUAACAAUAAAUGACCAGUCUCAUGAUGCAGCUAUAGCUGCCAGACACCUGCAGUGAAUGUACAGCUGUAUCAGGCAUUAAUGGCACAGUAUUGCUUUUGUGAGUUGUGUUCAGGGGUAAGUAGCUGCUUAAAGAUAAAAACCUUUGUGCUUCCAUAGAAGUGUACAGUUACAUUGGUGGAUAAUAUUGUAUUUCUGUGAUUGCAUGGUCCUGUUCAGCCUGUUCUGUUGAAAGUAUACAGCCUGGGCAGGCUCAGUCUGCAGUUUGAGUACUUAGGAGUCCUUUGUUGAGACUAAAUUGUGUUGGUCUCAGCAGGGAACAUUUCCAGACCAUCCAUCCUGGCCUAAAUAAGUCAGGCUGUCAUUGUUGCUCCACAGGAUGAUGCUGUGUGGGAUAUCAGGGCGCAAAGCCUUCAGACUUGUGUUCAUUUCACUGUAGCUAUGUUUCAUGUUUUGAAAGAACUUGCCACAGAUGGAUGUUGUCCUUCUAUCUCUUCACUGGCUGCUAGUCACCAGAAGAACAAUUCAGUCAGUAGUGUCCCCUUAUCAUGGACUAAUAGAAUGGUCUGGAAUUAAAGGGAUCUUAAAGAUACCUAAUUCUACUCCCUGCCAUGGACAGGGACACCUUCCCCUAGACCACAUUACUCAGGGCCCCAUUCAGCCUGCCCUUGCACACUUGCAGAGGUGGGACAUCUGCAGCUUCUAUGGACAACCUGUUGUAGUGUUUUACCAGUCUCACACUAAAGUAUUUCUUCCUCACACCUAAUCUAAACUUGCCCUCUUCCAGAUUGAAGCCCUUGUCCUAUCACUACAUGCCCUUGUAGGAAGUCCCUCUCUGGUUUUUCUGUAGGGUCCCUUUGUAUACUGGAAGACUCCUUGUUGCCAGUAGCAAGGUUUCAGAUGCUGGUGGCCUUGUCCUGGCUUCCUGGAGGUGCUGCUCUGUACCACAGCAUGGCUGCUUUUGUGCAGGGGGAAAGCUGCAAUUGCAAAUACUGUCCUUUAAACAGCAGGAAUUCAUAAAUUCCCUUAGGUGGCUGUAUUCCAGACCUGGCCUGUGUUUAUGAUGUCCCUGAUGUGCUACUCGGUAUUAGUGGAGAAUAUGAUAAGAGAUUCCUUCAGACUGGAAGACUGCCCUCUGCAUUUGGUCAGCACAGCCUCAUUUUUACUGACUUUACCUUUCUUUAAGGUGACUCUGAACAGAAACUGUUUAACUUCCUGUAAUUGUGAAGCUUUGAACCAAUAGCAGCAGUGAGAAUUUUCAGUUAUCUAAGAAACAUACACAUCAGAAAUUCUUGGGGUUUUUUUCUGCACCUGGUACAAAGAUGAGGAACAGGCAAGACAACCCAGUUCCUGCUGCUGUCAAAAGCAGCAAAUCCAAUCAUUUGUGUACCUCCUAUUAUAACCAAAGCAAAGAAUUAUUUGCUAUGGGUUCUAAAUCAGGAGUUGCUAUUUCUCUUGUUUGGUUUCUUUUUAAGGCCUUUACAAUGGGGAGCAUGCUUACAAAAUAAAGAGGGGUAAAUUUGGGGCCUGUAUCAUACCACAGGUGACUGCACUCAGGAGUAAUGUCAUUGUCACAGCUGUACACAGCUUUUGUUUCUAGAGGGUCAGAUUUUCUGCCCUCAUCUACAGGUGGGGUGUAAAUGAGAGAAAGGCUGACUUAAUUUGAUGGGAGACUGUUGGUAAGAGUCGUGGUUAUUUGAAGACUGCUUAAUCCUAUUAAAGGUUGGGAUUUUUUUUUUGAAAGUCUGAUUCAUGGGUGUGUUUUGUACUGGAGCACAUUUAAGAGCUGAGUCUGAAUAAAUCAUUUGCUACAUUUCCAUUGGUAUUUUCAUCAUAUCUUAACUGUAUGAGAGUUAAACAGGAUUAGUAAAUAAAAUGUUCUGAAGGUCAAGGAGAUUAAUAUUUUUAAUACCUGCAGGUUUUAGGAAAACAUGCUGAAUUAUAUGGGGAAGUACCAACUUAUUUAAUAACUGUAUUUUUCUAAUAAAUGUAGAUGAUAUAACUGCAGGGAACUGAAAAUGUUAUGUCAAUAACAGUAGCACCUGCUUGUAUUUCAUUUAAUUUGUGUGUGGGAUUGUUGAUGUUGUAGAAAAUGGCAGUUUAGGAGACAGCUUUUGAGGGGAAUGAUACGUUGCCAAGGCUGCAAUAUUUUGUAUUACCCUGUACAGGCUCUGUAUCAUAACUCAGAGUAUUUGAGAGCUUCCUUCCCUUUGCAGUCCACCUGCUUACCACUGCUGUCAGGAAGGUGAAGGUGCAGUGAGCUGGGUCAGCAGGAGAAACCUCACUUUCCGUGCAGUGUUUGAUUGAUGCCUGUGUAGCUCUGUGACUGACUCGUUACAGAGUCAAGUGGGUGUCAGUGCAAGGGAAGCAGGAGGGGCAAUCUCCUGAUCUGGCAGCAGCUGGCAAUCAGAUUGGCUUUAUGGUUUCAUGAAGUCCUGUCUGUAGGUUAUACCCACAUCUGUAGCUGUCUGGAAAUCCGUGGCUGUUGAAGGCUUUGCUUCCCUGCUGCCAAGUGCCACCCAUCUGAGCACUGCCACUGUUGGUCAGCUGCUUGACAAAAAGGUAGGUAGGGGACACAGACUUGGCUGGCUGUGAGCUUCUGGGAUCUGCUGGUUAGAGAUUUCUAGGACUGAUGGAGAGAAAACUGCUUAACACAUCAGGUUUAAACGGGCCUGUGUGUUCACAUUAUGAGAUGAAAUACGUGACUCUAAAGAAGCAUUAGCUCAGACCUGGGCAGCUGCAGUGUUCUGGAAAAUAAAGGAAAGAAAGACAGUUACAGGAAUGGCUUGCCAAGACAGUUGGUAAUGCACUAUUACCAACUGUAACAUGGGAGAAGAAAAAAAUAGCGGGGAGAUUUAGAAAUCCCAGCCAGUUUAUCUGGAUCAUUAGACUGGUUUUAAAGUACUGUGAAAUUUGUGGACUGGGAUAAGACAGUAGAAGGUCACCAUCACCUUGGAAAAAAAGGGUCUUUAAGCAGUGUCUCUCCAAGGACCUGGUUUUUUACUAUCUACUGUUAGAAGUGACACUAGAGAUUACUAAAACUGGAAGAAAGUAGACGAACCAAACCCUUUUCUUGUUUUCUGGUUAGCGCCAUUGUUAGCAUUCUUGGCAGAACUUCAGACGCUUUCCGUGGUUUUUCUGCUUGGUUGCACUUCCUGUCUCAUUUAUUGGCACAAUGAUGUCAUUCUCACACAGCACUGGGGAGGAGCACAGUGGUGGGCUCUGCCCCAACUCCUACAAGAAUUAUGCAAGAUUAUGACCAUUUCACCAUUUCAUUUUGUGCCCCUACAAGAAGACCUUGUCUCCUGCUCUAAUGGCUAAAAUCCAAAUGGAAGAUCUCGUUUUUGAGGUUCCCCUGGAUGGAAGUGGGAGGCAGAGCAGGAGGAAGAGGCAGCAGGAGUGCUGUGUCAUGCCAUCUUUGGUUGGAAGCUUCUUACGGAACAUCUGUGUGAGCACCUGGAGCCUGUGUAGCUCUGUGUGCCUCCAGAGCUGUGUGGAGCUGCAGAAGAGAAGGCAGGGCUAGGGAAUGUGCUUUCCCUAAGCAAACAAUGCUGUGAAAAGCAGGAAUGAGAGCUUCAAACACAUCCCUGCUCCUCUGGCCAGGCAGCCCUGCUCGUGGGAGGAAAGCACUGAGAAGGUGCUGUUUGCCCAGUGCUCUUACAUAGACCAGAAGAGCAGCAGGGUUUGUUUCUCUGGUUCUCCUGCCUGUCCCAAGAAGGCAGCACGGAUCAAACAGUUUGUCCUUGGGGAUGUUGCUGCAGGAGAGGAAGGAAUGUGGCUUCAAGAGGGGGAGCAGGUGGCCCUGCAAGCCUGGGGAGCAGCCUGAGCCUGCUGCUUGGUGAGGUCUGUACCUGUGCACAGGCCAGGUUCUGCUGUGCAAGCUGCAAUUAUGCAGGGAGCUUUAAAGUGGUAGAAAUCGGUGUGUUAAAAUGAACUUGGGAAAACUUAAAUCUGGCUCAAAGGGGCUCUUCCAGCAUGAGUCAUGUGCAGCUGUGGAGAAGCCCUGGGCAGAGCCUUCCUCCCCACUGCUGAAUGGAGCUGUCAGAGUGCUUGGAGCCAGGGCAGGGACAAAAAAUACCCCAGUUCAUUUCCUAACAAGGUAUGCACGGGAGAAUUUCCCAGGGGGCACUGGUUGGGGUUUGUGGCUCUGUUUUUCAAUCCCUCAGCUCCACAUAAGAACAUUGUGCAGCUUGAAACACCCUAAGCCCAUCCCCAGGAAGCAGACAAUGGUGUUGAUAUGCCUGUUGCUACAGAGGAAGUGGCUUCUGUUAUAACCAACAAACAAACUGCCAAAGUCCGUGUUUGGGUGGUUGCCAGAAUAAAUUUGACAUAAAAUUAUUUUGCCUCUGGCUUUUUUCUUGUUGUCUGGAGAUGUUCCUUUUGCUUCCUAACAUUAAAAUCUCACCGGUGGCAGGAUUUCCACUCCUUCCCCCGCCCCUGCCAAGAAAAAGUAAUACAGACUUUGAAAUGGUUAAUAGAGAAUCCAUUCUUUAUUUAAUAGAUGAUGAAAAUAUUCUUAAAUGCUUUCAGGUGGGUAGCAAAACUGAAGCUAAACCAUAUGUAGCAGUGGCGUUGCUCAGGGCUUUUGUCAUGCCGCUGGAAAUAUGAGAUAUUAUUGCAGAAAAGACAGUCUGUGGAAGUUGGACUCGAUGUUGGAGGCAUUAGGCGCCCUCUUGUGCUGAGCAGCUUCCCGGGAGCAGGGGCUGAGCCAAGCUUCAGCUUUGGUUUUAGGUUAGUUUGAGGGGCAGUUGGUGUGUGCUUUGGCACCUAAUCAUGACCCAGCAUGGUUCUGAUGUGGAGGAGUUACUUGCUGAUGGGUCUGCAAACUUCACUCUAGCUAUACAGUGUGGCUAUUCAAAAUGAAACUUUGAACAGAAAAAGAGUUAGUCUUGCAUCUUCCAAAAGGCAAAAAUAAAUCUUUAGAUUCACACAAAAAUAGCAAUAUCUGCUAAGUACUAAAUUUCUCUGAUGGGUCAGAUUUUAAGUUGAAUUUUGAACUUCACUGACUUAAUAAUAUGAUGCAGGUUUGAUUUUUUUUGUUUGUUGGUAGAUAUUGCUGUGUGUUUGUAAUAACUCAUUGGGCUGUAGUAGUAUCAGGAAAAUGUGCUGCAUUUCCUUGGGAGUCAUUUGUGGGUGUAGUCAAAUACUUUUUCAGAUUGCUCACUGCAAUUGUCUGAAAAUAUCUAAUUUCUCCAGAUACCAGACCAUAAGCAGAAAUGCAACUUCAGAGUAAAUGAGGUACAUCAAUUUGCAAAGUUAACUAAAAAGCUAUGUCAGAUCUGAAAACAUGGGUCUUCGGUGACUUUAUGCCUAAAGAAAGAAGUUUCACCAUUUUUUGAUAUGUAGAACUCAAAGUCAUUCAAAGGACACAAAUAUCAUUUUUCUGGCCUGAUGCAAAGUCUCAAACUUACUGGUACCUCCAGGAUGCAAACACAACUAAGCAUAACGUGUGCCUUGCCAGUACUUUUCUGGCUCUUCAGAGAUUAAAGAUGUUGCUUAUUUCAGUCUUAUUGACCCAGAGCACUUUUAGAGUGGGGUACCUGUCAUUCUGUGACAACAUUUAUAGCAAAAUAGUAGUUUAUAUCAGAUAUCUCUGCAUGAAAGCUCCUGAGGAUUGUGACCAUUUCACAGAGCAGCAGCUAGAAUAUAAAAGGAGAAUGAUUGUGCUGGGCCUGGCCGAGGUCCACCUGAUACUGAUCCUGUCUGCAGCAGACACUGUAGGCCGGUGCCUUGAUAAAAGUAUAAAAGCAUUUAUACUUGAGAGUGAGCUUCUUCCUGGACUGCUGUCCCAGCUUCCAACAGUUCUCAUGACCUGAGUUGAAUGUGUAGUUUGUACAUUUAGCAGAUCUUUGUAGAUUUAAUUCCCAAGAUUUUUCUACUGAGCUAAUACUAAACUUUUGUGCUCACAAUGGACCAAAUCCAUCAGUGCAACAAGGAUGCUGUGAAUGCAAAAGUUUGGUAUUACACAAUUUAUGACAUAACUGAAAAGUAGCAUCUUGCAUUUACAGGAAGAAGGCAGGGGGCAGGCAAGAGUGUGUGUAGCAGAGCUGCUGGCUUGCAGCAAUCCUUAUUCAGUAUUGCAGCAGUUAACUCUUGCCUUUUUAAAAAUGAGUUGUUUAAUUCCACUUUCCUAGAUGUGUCCAGGAGCCAGCUCUGACUAUUGCCACAUUCUGUCCUUGCGUGCGAGAUUAUAUUUCCAGAUAAGCAUGAAUAGAGUUCAAAUGAAUCUAUCAAUAAUCAGUGGAAAGGAUGUCAUAAUGCAAAGUCUGAUACUGUACAAAAAUAUACAAGUCCUUGAAAACAUGUAUUUGGAAAGGAACUGCUUUAUUCUUAACAUAGCUGCAGGUCUGGCAGCAACAGCUCAUGAAGAGGUGUGGGAAUUAGCUGAACAGACUCCCUGCUGGCAGGGAGAGCUGGGAGGCUGCAUGCUACUGAUAGGAGACUCCUCAUUUUUAAAUCCCUUUGGGUAAAGGAAGGUAAAUGAUUUUUCUUUGCUGAUGAAACACAUUGUGAGGCAAAGCCACAAUCGAGAAGAAAAAAAAAUAAGUGUUGAAUGGAAAUAAAAUCUCUAAACUCAAGUGAAAUAAGGUAUGUAAGACUCUGGUUUCUUUUAGGUUGUUGUAAUCUCUUAGAUUCAUCAAAAUGAAUUCAGCUAAAAGAAGAUAUAUGAGGAGGGUGGGGGAAGGAAGGAAGAGAUGACUGAAAAUGAAACAUUUUUAAUUGCUCCAUUGCUAAUUCUUUGAUUUGGAUCUGCUUAUAAUUAAGUUAAACUGUUUUCAAUGGAAUUUUUCUUUGAAGUAUUUGCAGCAAUGCAGGGUAUGUGUGGUGCUGUGCUGAGUCUAAGGAAAGGGCAAACAGAAAUACUCCCUUGUCCUGUGAAUGCCAGUGUCUUUAAGGACUCCCAUGGCUAUUAAGCAGGCACUUCUCCCAAAGUCUACAUUCUUACAGCAUCAUUUAUAGGGAACUUAAACAGCACUCUGUAAUGAUGCCCUCUGGUGACACCAAGAAUUUUUACACUACAAUGAAAUAAAAAACAAGAUAGAAUUUGGCCUGCUAAGUACUCUGGCAAGUUGGACUAUUCAUUAAGGAUUAAUGAGCAAAUCAGAGCUCCUAGAGCUCAAUCAGGCAAUAUAUAUAAGCCAUACACAUACAGAGGCCCAGGACUACCUCCAAGUGUUGUAGGAGCAGAGCUGUAAUGUGCAAGACAGUAUCUCAGCCAACCAUGCAAGUAAUCUCUUGUACAUUAAUGAUAAAAACCUGCCUUUUGGCACUGCAAAUUGAUAAUUUCUUUUCUAGUGCUUAGAGAAAAGAUAAAAUAAAAAAACCUCUUGAGCUUUUCUUGAGGCAGAGAAUGUGGAGGAUGUUAAUUGAUUGUAUGAAAUUGUAGAAAUUAACCAGCUGUGCAAAGGAAUGUCUCUUGUUUAUUCUACGCUUACUGUGGCUGCCACGCAGUCUCUGGAAAGCUGAUUUCUUCCAUGCACUGUUUCCUCUCCUGGAUAUUGCUUUUUAUAGGCACAAUCUGUCUGCAGCAUCUAAUAUCUCUACAUUUACUGCCCAUCAUUUCCCCACCAUACAGGCACACAUGACUAGUGCUGUACUGACUGGAGCUUGUGUGGUUCUUCCUCUGUUCUGGUUGAAAGGGGCUCUUUUUAUUUGCAGGGUUGUGUUAUUUUACAGCUGGAUCUGUGGUUGUAUUGUGUCUGCAGACUAGUGCAGAUGGAAGGAAACAAGUAAUUGUGGCUGGGAAUGGAUGGAGUAGGUGUGGGCAUCCCCUUCAGUAUUGCUUCUGUUUUAAGUUAUGACUCUGAAGCUAUGUCCUGAUCCAUAUGGAUGCAACACUGGCAAGGUAAUGAGAUUAUUGAGCUCUAGGGCAGGUAGCCCAACAGAAAGCCAUUCACGAGCAGAUACAAGCAAGGUAAUGAAUAGGGGAUAAGCAAAAAAACCCAAACACCCAAACAAACAAGAUCAAACAAAAAACCACCCAAAAAACAAAGCAGAAAAAAAAACCCCAACCAACCCCCCCCCCGAAAAAAAAUCCCAACCCAAAACAAAAAAACCCCAAAACAAAAAAAACCCAAAACUCAAAUUCCCCACCCAAAGCUGUGUUAAUAACUUUGUAUGAGGUGUGAAGUAUUAACUAAUUACUUCGUCAUUUUGAACUGAAUUGUCAAAUUAGGCUUAUACUCCCAAUAACUGUAUCAAUAACUCCUCUGCUUUUAAGCCAUCUUCCCCCAUGCCAUGCUUGGGAGAGGAUGCAUCUCUUCCCAUUCAUGUCUUUUGCAAAACAGCCCCUUAGGCAGAGUGUAGAUCAACUGGGUUUUAUGCAUAUUUUCUCUAAGAAAAGCUAAAGGAGUAAACAAAAUAUUUGUUCUGACAAGAUGCCUACUUUGAUCGUAAAUGUUAAGAUCAGGAGGUGCAAGUAUGAUUUUAUUCUUACUUCCCCAACAGUACAAUCUGUAGAAUCUUCUUCACUAAAUUCUUCAUUAAGUCAGUAAUUUCCCUUUCAACUGCAGUUUGUAUUUUAGGAAAUACCUUACCUUGAUUUUACAGGCCAUUUAGUAUCUGUAGAGGAGUUUGUGAUACCAUUUUUAGGUCUGAUAAUGCAUCAGGUAAGGGCUGCUUUUCUGUACUAAAAUUUGCAGUGUUUCAGUGUCUUGCAGUCACACAGUGCUUUCUCCUGGCCUGAACAGUUACCCAGGUUCUUUGAGGAGGAGAAUAUACCCUUUGAUAAAUUCAUACAUCUUUAAUGCAGGAUCUAUGAUUGCAGCACACCAAAAUUAGUACUUUUCUUAGUGGCCAUGCCCAGCCUUUCAUUUCUAGCUAAGCUGAUGUUUCAAAGAGCCCCUGCUUCCUUCAUGACCAAAACUAGAGUUGCUUACUCUGCCUGCUGGCCUGCUGGUUCUUACACACAGGCUCAUGUAGCUCAACCAGUUGUCUUCAAGCUCCCCUUUCUAUUGCAAAUUUAUAUUCCACGUAGCGUACCUGAGCAGUGAGUUUUGCUGUUUCCAACCAUCUUCCUCCAUAAAGGAACUUCACUGCUCUUCAGUUUAGCCUCAGCGAAGCUGUCAGGCUCACUGCCCUGUCUUCAUCAGCUGGGAACUGAUAAAGGUACGUGUGAUGUCUUGUGCUUUCCACAGUCUGACCGCCUUUGAGGUCAUGAAAACAGCAGUAGAAGGAGACGUGGGUUUUGGUAUUGUUGUAUGACUGGUUGUAGAAUAUUGUCCAUUUUCAGCUGUACAGUAGGUCUGUUACACAGUUUGCUAUCACAACACAAGGAAUGUGUAGAACAGAACUGAUACUAAGUGGUCUGCUUUUAUUUUUCCAGUCCUCUCCAUCCAUGAGUUAUUCUGGUUUAGCAGCUGGAGUAAGACCAAGAAAGGAACUUGUAUUCUACAAGGAUUUGGGGGACAGCUCUGAAGCUCAUAAGCUUUUGGAUGUAAAUAUGCUUGUAUAUUUUUUUCUUAUCCUAUGCAGAGAGAACUCUAAGGCAGCAUUUUCAAGAUUUGGGUAAACUGGUAUAGGGAUUGCUGGUAUAUAGAUAUACCAGCAGUAUAGAUAGCUCCUUAGGGGAGGCUGCCAAAGGGAGAUUUUUACCUCAGCUGUGAUUCAGGUAAUUUGCCCUCUUACCUGUCAGUGUGUCCAUCCCCCCUCUCUUCCCUGCUCUCCCUGUGGUUUGUAUUUUUAUUCUUGCUCAUAGCAGCAUUGGUUCAAUUUUCACACAGGCUUUCACUGCACUGAGAUUGUUUCUUACACAGGUGAAAGAGCUGCUCCUACAGAUCAUCGUCCUGGGCAGCAGAGGUAGCAACUUAGCCCAGGACAGCUUGAAACUUAUCAGUUAGCUGAAGCUGCUGGGCAAAUCAGAUCACCAUAUUCCACUUCUCUCUGCGCUUUGUUAUGGUAGGCUUAGGAGUUCUGAACAGAGAGGUACUGGCUACCAGAGAUGGGUUGUAGAAAUACAGAGAACCAUGCAGAGCUGUAGAGAAGUUUCACAGCUGAGGUACGUGGAGAAUUAUCCUUCGAUGCCAUCGGUGAGAAGGAGUCUCCAGUCAGACAACUCCUCCACUGACGUGUUGAGGCAAGUGACUCAGCUCUGCAGUGGAGAAGAAUGUCCCUAGUGCAGCUUUCCCAGAAACACCUUCACCUGGAGGUUCUUGCUCAGGAAUUAAUUUGCUUGUGAAAACUCAUCAGUCCACAGAGCCUGGGGUGACAGAGUAGUGGGCAGAUUGCUCUCGUGGGGAUGAGGAUGCACUGCUGUAAGCAAGCCUAAUUAAGUCCUCUGACGAACUUUCCAGCAUAACUGCAUCAGUAAUUGUCAGCAUUUAUGAAGUAAAUAAAGUUUAGUUGUUCUCUCAGUCCUGAGAGUUGCAGAAGUUUAUAAUCAUCCUAUCUUAUCAGGAAUGAAAUACAUUGAGACCUAUUAAAGCAGGCAGCGGUUGCCAUUCACUGGUGGUUUGUUAACAAAUAAAAGCUUUCAAAAGCUUUUGAAAGAAAUAACACAAGAUGAGUCUGGCAGCAGUCAACUGACCUGUAAUUUUAAGAUUGGGGAAAUGAUUAGAAAAAGGAAGCAGAGCGUAGCAGAACUCACAGCCUGGUAAUUCCCAUGAGCUUAUCUGGAGCUUGAGCUGCUAUCACGAGUGAGACCCUGAGUAUCUGAGUCUCCUGAAUGAUACAGGUUUGCAUUGCAAGUCACCCUUCUGGGAAAAAGAAAAUACAUGAAUGUUUCUGACAGAAUAGUUUUGUGAGCAGCUUUUUCCCUUCUAAGACAUCAGCUUUAUAAAUAGCACUGAUACCAAGGUCUAUAGACAUUAUCUCCUAGCCUUUUUUUUUAAAUUGAAAGUAAUUUGCUUUUGAAGAUGAUCAUUGCAGGGAGUGGCCCAGUUAUGAAGAUACUUGGGCCAAAUCUUCUGAAACUCCUGUAAACAAGUUUUGCUUGAUUCUGGCAGCACAAACCAGUUUUAAACCUGGUUUGAAAUGGCUAGCAUUCAUGGAAGCACACUGCAUAUGGCAAUGGGCAGGGGGAAAAAAAGUGCUAUAUCAACAGAUACCUGCUAUCAAGAAGCCCAGUUGGCAAGCAUUAUGUAGGAGAAACAGUCUGGAGUCAACACCUGAAAGCUGACUUUUCACGUGGAACAGGAAACUGAUGAAUGUCUGGAGCAUCUGUUUUAUUUGCUGUCAGCUUUUCAAUCUCCUAAACAAGAUAGAGUGACACAUGGAGUUUGUGAGUCCCUGUGCUGGCAUUGUGAACACUCCUCUGCACAGAAGAGGGUGGUGAAGCAGAAUAAUUAAAGCAUCCCACUGUGCAGCCAGAUGUGCAAGUUUAUGUCUUCAUUUGCUAGCCCCUCACCAAUGAAGGUGAAAGAGGUCUUUUGGGAUCAGUUAAGUCCAAGGAAGCCAGGUGGUAUAUUAACCUCUUUCCUCCAGGACAGAGUUAACUGCAGAAAUGGAAGUGUCCUGUCCUUGUUCACCUGCUAGAUUACUCCAAUCUAGCAAACGUUUGAACUUUUCUGCCUGGAUUCAUUCAAACUCUUAAGUUGGUAUAAAAAAAUACAUCUGUUGCCAUGUACCCUUAGGAUGCUUCUUGACUUCCCAGGAUCAUCUGUCUUACAGUAAUACUUUCAACAUGUGCUUCAGAGUGAGGCACAAGCCCAAAGGGAUUCACUGGUUGUGUGACUGCAAAGGGACAUUCUUCUUUCCUGGCUCUGACAUAUAUACCUUGGGCAAUAUUUGAUUGAUGCAUAUGGUAAGAUAUCAGCAUGCGUUGGUUAAAUGUAUUCAAAAAAGGUUGUUCAAUUGCUAUUGCAUAAGAAAAAAAUCAGCUUGUCCUUUUGAAACACCCUGGCAUGGUUGGAUUUGAGAAUUAUUUAUUAGGGAGACUUUAAAGUAGAUGAAAAUAAGAAAUCCUAUGAGAAACAUUUCUGGUGGUUUCUUACAUUUUCUCCACCCCUCCCUCACCCUGAACUGUUCAAUAUGGUUAGAAGGAAAAUCCUUUCCAAACCCUUUCAAUCUAAAAUAUCAUCAGAUGGAGCAAAAGGAAAGCUGAACUUGCCCCAGAAGCAUUCCCACACUGAAAUAUUAAAUACUCCAGCCCCAGAGCUUGGGAUACAGGGAAACUAUGAGUAGCAAGAUGUCCAUACUAUUGUGGAGGGGGGAUCACAGCGUGUCUCAUGCCUUGGAUGCUUCAGGGGACAAUUUGGCAGAGCAGCAGUUAUCCCUCAGUUCAAUGAUGUGGUGACUCUGGUGACAAUACCAGCCUACAGUCUUGUUGUCUGUCCCUCCUUGCUGGUUUCCAUGCCAUAGGACACAAUACUUGUGGCUGGAUUAAAGCAGGUUCCUACAGACAGCACUGAAGACCACUCACAGGGCAGGGUGUUUAGGGUUAGGUGUCCUUUAAACCCAGCACUGAUCAGAUUUACAGCAGGACUCCACAAGCAGCUGCAUGCAGGUGGUGGCCUCCCCAUUGCUGGGGUGGUAAGGGUGCACUGUGCUGCAUAAGGUCCUUGCUUUAAGCCUGUAGGAAUGUUCUAGAAGGCUCUGCUCCAGCUUCAACUCCAUCCAAUCAUCAUCCUGGGAAAUAAAACGUCAGAAAAUGUAGAGUCCCUGUGCUUCAGAGCGGCUGAGGAGGCACAGGGAGGGUUCAGAUGUGGGUAAUAAUUUGCUGUCUAAGCUCCACCAAAACUGCUCAGUGAGCUUUUUUAUUGAACAGCACUGCCACAACACUGCAUUCAGUUACAGGAUUUGAGGAGAGUUUAAAUUCAACAAUGAUGGAAAUACUAAAUCUACUAAACAGCUAUAACUUUUUCUUGUCAUACUGGACAGGAGAGGAGAUAGAAAACAUUUCAUGUACUGCAAGAUCAGGUGAGAUAGAACUAUCUCAAGUUUUGUAACACAGGUCUGGAUUUCUAACUGCUUGCUAAGAAAAAAGAAAAAAGUCAGGCUUUUCUCUUACUCUAGUCAACUAUGAGUACAAGCAAUUAUGUAAAAACUCAUUUUUCUAUGACAUUUAUCAUUACAAAGAAGAGAAACUGCAUACCAACAUUUAUUAUAAUUUCAUUAGUAUCCAAGUAGAUCUAAUUUAUGUGGAGGUUCUGUUUCCAAGAUGAGGAUCAAAUGAAUCUCAUCUGACAGACAAUUGAGUUAUAAAGGCCUCACAUGAGAACUGUUCUCCAGCAGAAUGUAAACAAGACAUGCUGAUUAAUAAGGUCAGACAUACAGGAGGGAGCUAAAUUAUGGCAGGACUCAUCAACCAGCAACAUAUGCUAGACCUUCUCAAAUGGUACAAGUUAGCAUGCAGUAAAGCAAAAUUUUUAAAUUAACCCUAGUAUUUUACCCUCUGGGCAGUAGAACUAGAACUUAGAGGAAGUAAGUUAUAAACUGUAGAAGUAAUAUGAUUCCAUGUGACAAGUCAUAAACUGAAUUUCUCCCAAAGACUUACAGAUUUUUACAGUGUUAAAUAUCACUGUAGUUAUUAGAUCUUGCAUGAAAACUCCAAGGAAACAAACUGUAGCAUAAAUGUAACAUCUGAGACUUAAGAUUUAUGUUCUGGGAACUGACUGAAACCACACAAGGAGAAGAUUCAUGUAGCAAAAUGUUGCAAGGACAUCCCUGCUAAAUGCCUUGUGGAAAGUGCUAAGCAAACUGGAAUAGUUCCAAAAUAUGUAGGUGGGAUUGCUCUUCUCAAUGCUGGGAUUUACUCCAUUAUUGUCCAAGUGACUCAGCUGAAAUUACCCACAAUCUACUAGGCAUACUUUAUUUCAAUACAUUUUGCCCUGGCCUUUCCUCUCUGUGGCUACAGGGCCUUAAUUCACCUAAAUUCCUAAAAUGGUGGUGCCAAGUGGUCCUGAUAACACCACUGCACUUUCCAUAGCCAAAUAUUAUGUACUCAUCUGCAUUUUCAGGACAGUGUGUCACUGCCUUCUGUCAACAUUUUCUUUGUUGAUCUACUGACAAGAGAAAGAUACUGCCUUCCCUGCUUUUGGACUGAGCUCCUUCUCUUCUGUGACUUUGCCAGGUGCUAAAUGACCUUGAAACUGAUUCCCAAACACAGAAAAGCAGUUAUUUGAAGCCAUGAUGCUUAAUUAAACAGUCAAUCCAUGCAUCCUGUUUGCUCUUACUGUAGAAGAGCAAAUAGGUCUUUUGUCAUUCAAAGAUGGAUUGGGCUAGAUCAGCUUUGUGCAGAUAAAAACACAAGGUUUCCACUUCUGUAUCUCACAUCUAUGUAGCAGGAUGAUAUCCCCUGAUGCUGUAGUGCACCACUUUUACAGAAAACAGGCUGUUCUUCCUGCCUUUUAAUCUAGAAUACAGUUUAACUUAAAUAUUGGAUCAGGAUUUGGUCAGUCAAUUCACAGCAGUUCAUGUGAUCUCAAAUGAAGAUUAAAAUCCAACCCAAUGCAUGGAUUGCAGUACUUUUUUUAAGGCAGCCAGUGCCAGUUGCUUCAGCAGAAGGUUUAAGAAGCUCCUUAGAGGACAAGUAUAACAUAUUCUUGAAUUCUACCUCUGAGCAUUUGAGGGGCUCUGAAACAUUGUGGUUUAUACCUCUAAGUUUUUCAGUCCUGUCAAAAAAAAGUCAAACACCCUCAUUACCCUCCUAACUGCCCAGUGAUGCUUUGGAACCUAACUCUCCACAAUUCCUAUUGACAGGGAUAUUGCAGCUUGGCUUAAGGUGGCACCUUCCUCUGCUCUUACAAAUCUGCCAUUUGUAAUUGGCUUGCUUUCAAUUUCACCGUGUUUCUCUUAUUCACCUGUCAAACCAAGAUACACACUGGAGCUCCUAAGCACUUUUCAUCUUCUGGUUCUAGUAUUUCACUCAGUAAAUGGGAUGCCUGUACUCUAAAUGUUCCCCUCCAUCUCUUCUUGCUCCUCAGGGAAGGAAGCCCAGGCAUGUUGGCCACCAAGAGAUGCUUUGGCCAGGUACCAUGCAGGUCAGAGCAUCCAGUUCCCCUAAGUCUAGGUGCAGCUCUGGUGCUCUUUCUCUAUAUUCUGUUUGGGUAAAGUUCUCUGUAUAAUAUUUUACUUUAACAUAAAAUUUCCUAUAUUUAUCUCUGUUUUAAUAAAUAUUUAAUUCUCAUAUAAAUACCUUACUAUGCUCUUUGAGAUGAAGCAAAACAUACAAUG
This is a long non-coding RNA of Passer domesticus (house sparrow), 18496 nucleotides long. RefSeq lists it as uncharacterized. The transcript has 3 exons. Lineage: Eukaryota; Metazoa; Chordata; Aves; Passeriformes; Passeridae. The record is from RefSeq and is a predicted model, not a curated record.